GYCUACMYRGUYYYUUAGWGUUUGAUCCUGGCUCAGAACGAACSCURRASRAGSGUGCUUAACACAUGCAAGUCGAACGUGAUCCGGCCUUCGGGCCGGUGAAAGUGGCGCACGGGUGAKUAACACGUGGAUAAUCUACCCGAUGAUCCGGGAUAACAUCUCGAAAGGGGUGCUAAUACCGGGUAAGCCCACGGACUCUUCGGAGUUUGCGGGAAAAGGUGGGGACCUUCGGGCCUACCGUCAUCGGAUGAGUCCGCGGCCCAUUAGCUAGUUGGUAGGGUAACGGCCUACCAAGGCAACGAUGGGUAGCUGGUCUGAGAGGAUGAUCAGCCACACUGGAACUGARACACGGUCCAGACUCCUACGGGAGGCAGCWGUGGGGAAUUUUGCGCAAUGGGCGAAAGCCUGACGCAGCAACGCCGCGUGAGUGAUGAAGGCCUUCGGGUCGUAAAGCUCUGUCAGAGGGGAAGAACCACCCAUCGGUUAAUAUCCGGUGGGCCUGACGGUACCCUCAAAGGAAGCACCGGCUAACUCCGUGCCAGCAGCCGCGGWAAUAC
RNAcentral lists this ribosomal RNA (557 nucleotides) under uncultured Geobacteraceae bacterium. Its description in RNAcentral is "partial 16S ribosomal RNA". It matches the Rfam family "Bacterial small subunit ribosomal RNA", at positions 1 to 526 of the family's 1533-position model. The record is from RNAcentral. Lineage: Bacteria; Pseudomonadati; Thermodesulfobacteriota; Desulfuromonadia; Geobacterales; Geobacteraceae.